GAUAGGAGACAAGAAGGCAUCUUCUUGUUUUUAAAAGACCUAGCAAUAGGUAUGCUUAGGGAGGAGCUUGCGUCACAUUAGUUAGUUGGUGGGGUAAAGGCCUACCAAGACUAUGAUGUGUAGCCGGGCUGAGAGGUUGAACGGCCACAUUGGGACUGAGACACGGCCCAAACUCCUACGGGAGGCAGCAGUAGGGAAUUUUCGGCAAUGGAGGAAACUCUGACCGAGCAACGCCGCGUGAACGAUGAAGUAUUUCGGUACGUAAAGUUCUUUUAUUAGGGAAGAAUAAAUGAUGGAAAAAUCAUUCUGACGGUACCUAAUGAAUAAGCCCCGGCUAACUAUGUGCCAGCAGCCGCGGUAAUACAUAGGGGGCAAGCGUUAUCCGGAAUUAUUGGGCGUAAAGGGUGCGUAGGCGGUUAAAUAAGUUUAUGGUCUAAGUGCAAUGCUCAACAUUGUGAUGCUAUAAAAACUGUUUAGCUAGAGUAAGAUAGAGGCAAGUGGAAUUCCAUGUGUAGUGGUAAAAUGCGUAAAUAUAUGGAGGAACACCAGUAGCGAAGGCGGCUUGCUGGGUCUUUACUGACGCUGAGGCACGAAAGCGUGGGGAGCAAACAGGAUUAGAUACCCUGGUAGUCCACGCCGUAAACGAUGAGUACUAAACGUUGGGUAAAACCAGUGUUGAAGUUAACACAUUAAGUACUCCGCCUGAGUAGUACGUACGCAAGUAUGAAACUUAAAGGAAUUGACGGGACUCCGCACAAGCGGUGGAUCAUGUUGUUUAAUUCGAAGGUACCCGAAAAACCUCACCAGGUCUUGACAUGCUUCUGCAAAGCUGUAGAAACACAGUGGAGGUUAUCAGUUGCACAGGUGGUGCAUGGUUGUCGUCAGCUCGUGUCGUGAGAUGUUGGGUUAAGUCCCGCAACGAGCGCAACCCUUAUUGUUAGUUACCAGCACGUAAUGGUGGGGACUUUAGCAAGACUGCCAGUGAUAAAUUGGAGGAAGGUGGGGACGACGUCAAAUCAUCAUGCCCCUUAUGACCUGGGCUACAAACGUGAUACAAUGGCUGUUACAAAGGGUAGCUGAAGCGCAAGUUUUUGGCGAAUCUCAAAAAAACAGUCUCAGUUCGGAUUGAAGUCUGCAACUCGACUUCAUGAAGUUGGAAUCGCUAGUAAUCGCGAAUCAGC
Molecule: ribosomal RNA, 1181 nt
Filed under: Brussels sprouts yellows phytoplasma
Lineage: Bacteria; Bacillati; Mycoplasmatota; Mollicutes; Acholeplasmatales; Acholeplasmataceae
Description: bacterial SSU rRNA
Rfam family: Bacterial small subunit ribosomal RNA
Source: RNAcentral